AUUUACAAAUUUUAUUUUUAUAAAAUAUUUAUAUUUUACAGUUAAUAAUUGUUAUUAAGUAACGCUAUAACACGAAUCCAUGAGACAAUUGUUAAAAAACUGAAGUUGUAACCCCUAUUAAAACAGCAUAUUAAUAAUAUUUUAAAAUUUUAUAAAUAUUGAUUCAAAUACAUCCACCAUAUAACCCAAUUCCUAAAUAAAACAUGUUCUAUAAUUUCUUUAUCCGUCCCGUGAUUUUUUUUUAAAGUAGUAAUUUUUAAAAUUUAAGAAUUAUUUUUUAUAUAUAAAAGUUUUGCAAAUUGUAUCAUUCUCUAAUACAUUUAUAUUUUAUAGUUUAAUUUC
Molecule: small RNA, 342 nt
Filed under: Arabidopsis thaliana (thale cress)
Lineage: Eukaryota; Viridiplantae; Streptophyta; Magnoliopsida; Brassicales; Brassicaceae
Description: ATSL302690
Source: RNAcentral